Molecule: long non-coding RNA, 1321 nt
Organism: Prinia subflava (tawny-flanked prinia)
Lineage: Eukaryota; Metazoa; Chordata; Aves; Passeriformes; Cisticolidae
Exons: 3
Source: RefSeq, a predicted model, not a curated record
GGUUCCGGGGCGGCGAUGCUGCGGGAGCCGGGGGAGCGGCGGCCUGAGGGGGCAGCCGAGGGAACCGCGUGCUCUUGCUACUGCUGCUGCUGCUCCUCCCGCUCCUCCUCUUCCUUUUCCGCCUCCUUUGUCGAUCCUGUUCAUGCUCCUCCUCUUCCUCCCGCUCCUCCCUUUCCUUGUCCUCCUCCUCCUCCCGCUCCUCCUCCUCUCCAAGCUCGGAGCGGGCGGUUCCGACACCCAAAAGCAGCCGCGCUGUCCCCUGGGAGGAAUUCAAAAGCGACUGUGCCAGGCGCGGCGCUAAGAGCGAUCAUGGGAGCACCGGGAGCGAUCCUGAGAGCAGCGAGAAGGAUUUGGGAGCGCUUUUCCUCCCAGUCUGGAUCUUACUGGGAGCACUGGGAGGGAACUGGGAGCAAACAGCGCCCGGACGCGGCUGCAGCCGGCGCUGGGCGGGGCCAAGGCAGAGGGCGUGGUUAUGCAAAUCGACGAGCCACCGCGCGCUGUGAUUGGUAGGCGGGAGAGGCGCGGGGUUUCUUCGGGCCGGUGAGGGCCCGGGCAGGGCCGGAGCGAUGGCGGCGGCGUCCGGUUUCCACGGGGACACAGGAGGAUGUGGAGCCCCCAGUCAGGUCUCCACAUGGUUCACGUGGUUUGCAGCUGCACCCUCCUGUCCAAGGGAGUGUCCAUGGAUCCCACCAGUACAGGUACAAUGGGUGGGAUUUCAUCUCCUUCCAGCUGGGAUCUGGGAGCUUUGCAGUGUCCGACGGUGCCACCUGGAUCACCCAGAGGUGCUGGGAAUGCAAAGGGAUCAUGGUGGAGCAGAUGAAGCAUUAGCUGGGACACAUCUGUGUGGAAGAGCUCCCAAAAUACAUCAGCUGUGGUCAGGUGGCUCUGGAACACAAAGGUGGGUGUGGGAGUGGGAAGAUAAUUCCUCUGGGAGAGUGGAAUUCAGGAAGGGGGACUUGGGAAUGCAGAAAUUGCCAUGGAAUUUCCAUGGCCAGAUCUCACUCUCAUCCCAGUCAGGGGAGAAUUCCAUGGAUGGACACCCCCAACCCACUGCCAUGGGAAUUCCACUGGGAAAUGAUUUGAAUUGAUGACCAAUCAAAUGCCAGCAGUUGUCUAAUUAGCAAAUUUGCAAUGCUAAAACAAAUCUUUGGGUGGCUUUAACUAAAGCAUCAGGCUUAGACAACAUCUGUUUUUCCUAUACACCCCUAGGAAAGACAUUUUUCACCUGUUUAGUUUGCAUGCCAGUAGAUGCUUGGCCAAUUCCAGUCACCUUCCCCAGGCACCUUCUGAACCUGAAGAAUUAGACAUCCAUGGCCCUGUA